GACGAGGGGUCCAAGCGUUGCUCGGAAUCAUUGGGCGUAAAGCGGGUGUAGGCGGCUUGGUAAGUCAGAAGUGAAAGCCCCGGGCUUAAACCGGGAAGUGCUUUUGAUACUGCUAGGCUUGAGUGUGGGAGAGGAUAGUGGAAUUCCUGGUGUAGUGGUGAAAUACGUAGAUAUCAGGAGGAACGCCGGUGAGGAAGCUGGCUGUCUGGCCCAACACUGACGCUCAGACCCGAAAGCGUGGGGGGCAAACAGG
This 253-nucleotide unclassified non-coding RNA is filed under the name uncultured Pseudobdellovibrionaceae bacterium. RNAcentral's name for it is "uncultured Bdellovibrionaceae bacterium contains 16S-23S intergenic spacer region". It matches the Rfam family "Bacterial small subunit ribosomal RNA", at positions 524 to 776 of the family's 1533-position model. The record is from RNAcentral. Lineage: Bacteria; Pseudomonadati; Bdellovibrionota; Bdellovibrionia; Bdellovibrionales; Pseudobdellovibrionaceae.